RNAcentral lists this ribosomal RNA (1542 nucleotides) under Escherichia coli. RNAcentral describes it as "bacterial SSU rRNA". It matches the Rfam family "Bacterial small subunit ribosomal RNA". RNAcentral also lists the same sequence under 1 other name. Lineage: Bacteria; Pseudomonadati; Pseudomonadota; Gammaproteobacteria; Enterobacterales; Enterobacteriaceae. The record is from RNAcentral.
AAAUUGAAGAGUUUGAUCAUGGCUCAGAUUGAACGCUGGCGGCAGGCCUAACACAUGCAAGUCGAACGGUAACAGGAAUCAGCUUGCUGAUUCGCUGACGAGUGGCGGACGGGUGAGUAAUGUCUGGGAAACUGCCUGAUGGAGGGGGAUAACUACUGGAAACGGUAGCUAAUACCGCAUAACGUCGCAAGACCAAAGAGGGGGACCUUCGGGCCUCUUGCCAUCGGAUGUGCCCAGAUGGGAUUAGCUGGUAGGUGGGGUAACGGCUCACCUAGGCGACGAUCCCUAGCUGGUCUGAGAGGAUGACCAGCCACACUGGAACUGAGACACGGUCCAGACUCCUACGGGAGGCAGCAGUGGGGAAUAUUGCACAAUGGGCGCAAGCCUGAUGCAGCCAUGCCGCGUGUAUGAAGAAGGCCUUCGGGUUGUAAAGUACUUUCAGCGGGGAGGAAGGGAGUAAAGUUAAUACCUUUGCUCAUUGACGUUACCCGCAGAAGAAGCACCGGCUAACUCCGUGCCAGCAGCCGCGGUAAUACGGAGGGUGCAAGCGUUAAUCGGAAUUACUGGGCGUAAAGCGCACGCAGGCGGUUUGUUAAGUCAGAUGUGAAAUCCCCGGGCUCAACCUGGGAACUGCAUCUGAUACUGGCAAGCUUGAGUCUCGUAGAGGGGGGUAGAAUUCCAGGUGUAGCGGUGAAAUGCGUAGAGAUCUGGAGGAAUACCGGUGGCGAAGGCGGCCCCCUGGACGAAGACUGACGCUCAGGUGCGAAAGCGUGGGGAGCAAACAGGAUUAGAUACCCUGGUAGUCCACGCCGUAAACGAUGUCGACUUGGAGGUUGUGCCCUUGAGGCGUGGCUUCCGGAGCUAACGCGUUAAGUCGACCGCCUGGGGAGUACGGCCGCAAGGUUAAAACUCAAAUGAAUUGACGGGGGCCCGCACAAGCGGUGGAGCAUGUGGUUUAAUUCGAUGCAACGCGAAGAACCUUACCUGGUCUUGACAUCCACGGAAGUUUUCAGAGAUGAGAAUGUGCCUUCGGGAACCGUGAGACAGGUGCUGCAUGGCUGUCGUCAGCUCGUGUUGUGAAAUGUUGGGUUAAGUCCCGCAACGAGCGCAACCCUUAUCCUUUGUUGCCAGCGGUCCGGCCGGGAACUCAAAGGAGACUGCCAGUGAUAAACUGGAGGAAGGUGGGGAUGACGUCAAGUCAUCAUGGCCCUUACGACCAGGGCUACACACGUGCUACAAUGGCGCAUACAAAGAGAAGCGACCUCGCGAGAGCAAGCGGACCUCAUAAAGUGCGUCGUAGUCCGGAUUGGAGUCUGCAACUCGACUCCAUGAAGUCGGAAUCGCUAGUAAUCGUGGAUCAGAAUGCCACGGUGAAUACGUUCCCGGGCCUUGUACACACCGCCCGUCACACCAUGGGAGUGGGUUGCAAAAGAAGUAGGUAGCUUAACCUUCGGGAGGGCGCUUACCACUUUGUGAUUCAUGACUGGGGUGAAGUCGUAACAAGGUAACCGUAGGGGAACCUGCGGUUGGAUCACCUCCUUA